This 146-nucleotide small nuclear RNA is filed under the name Pogona vitticeps (central bearded dragon). RNAcentral describes it as "U2 spliceosomal RNA (ENSPVIG00000010286.1)". The stretch from base 1 to 120 matches the Rfam family "U2 spliceosomal RNA". Rfam says of the family: U2 is a small nuclear RNA (snRNA) component of the spliceosome (involved in pre-mRNA splicing). Complementary binding between U2 snRNA (in an area lying towards the 5' end but 3' to hairpin I) and the branchpoint sequence (BPS) of the intron results the bulging out of an unpaired adenosine, on the BPS, which initiates a nucleophilic attack at the intronic 5' splice site, thus starting the first of two transesterification reactions that mediate splicing. Lineage: Eukaryota; Metazoa; Chordata; Lepidosauria; Squamata; Agamidae. The record is from RNAcentral.
AUCGCUUCUCGCCCUUUUGGCUAAGAUCAAGUGUAGUAUCUCUUCUUAUUAGCUUAAUAUCUGAUAUGUCCUCUAUUUGAGGACUAUAUUUUAGCUCAAAGGAAUUGAUGUCUAAUUUUAUGAGUGCUAGAAUAUUAAUAGCUAGA